RNAcentral lists this ribosomal RNA (273 nucleotides) under uncultured bacterium. RNAcentral's name for it is "partial 16S ribosomal RNA". It matches the Rfam family "Bacterial small subunit ribosomal RNA", at positions 523 to 796 of the family's 1533-position model. The record is from RNAcentral.
AUACGGGGGGAGCAAGCGUUGUCCGGAAUCAUUGGGCGUAAAGGGCAUGUAGGUUGUAAUUUAAGUCAGUUUUUAAAUGUCACGGCUUAACCGUGGACUGGAAUUGAAACUGGAUUACUUGAGUAUGAGAGGGGACAGAGGAAUACCUAGUGUAGCGGUGGAAUGCGUAGAUAUUAGGUAGAACACCCGAGGCGAAGGCGUCUGUCUGGCUCAUCACUGACACUGAAAUGCGAAAGCAUGGGUAGCGAACAGGAUUAGAAACCCUUGUAGUCC